This 427-nucleotide ribosomal RNA is filed under the name uncultured prokaryote. Its description in RNAcentral is "bacterial SSU rRNA". It matches the Rfam family "Bacterial small subunit ribosomal RNA", at positions 355 to 796 of the family's 1533-position model. The record is from RNAcentral.
UGGGGAAUUUUCCGCAAUGGGCGAAAGCCUGACGGAGCAAUACCGCGUGAGGGAGGAAGGCUUUUGGGUUGUAAACCUCUUUUCUUAGGGAAGAAGAAAGUGACGGUACCUAAGGAAUCAGCACCGGCUAACUCUGUGCCAGCAGCCGCGGUAAUACAGAGGGUGCAAACGUUGCUCGGAAUGACUGGGCGUAAAGCGCGCGCAGGUGGCCCGUUAAGUUGGCUGUGAAAUCCCCUGGCUCAACCAGGGAAGUGCAGUCGAUACUGGCGGGCUCGAGUCCCGGAGAGGGUGGUAGAAUUCCCAGUGUAGAGGUGAAAUUCGUAGAUAUUGGGAGGAAUACCGGUGGCGAAGGCGACCGCCUGGACGGGUACUGACACUGAGGCGCGAAAGCGUGGGGAGCGAAUGGGAUUAGAUACCCCCGUAGUCC